This 649-nucleotide ribosomal RNA is filed under the name uncultured bacterium. Its description in RNAcentral is "bacterial SSU rRNA". It matches the Rfam family "Bacterial small subunit ribosomal RNA", at positions 140 to 807 of the family's 1533-position model. The record is from RNAcentral.
GGGACAACAGCCAGAAAUGGCUGCUAAUACCGCAUAAGCCUGCUGUGCCGCAUGACACAGCAGGGAAAACCACGGUGGUACAGGAUGGGCCCGCGUCUGAUUAGUUAGUUGGCAGGGUAACGGCCUACCAAGACAACGAUCAGUAGCCGGCUUGAGAGAGUGGACGGCCACAUUGGGACUGAGACACGGCCCAGACUCCUGCGGGAGGCAGCAGUGGGGAAUAUUGCACAAUGGGGGGAACCCUGAUGCAGCAAUGCCGCGUGGGUGAAGAAGCACUCCGGUGCGUAAAGCCCUGUCAGCAGGGAAGAAAAUGACAGUACCUGGACAAGAAGCCCCGGCUAACUACGUGCCAGCAGCCGCGGUAAUACGUAGGGGGCAAGCGUUAUCCGGAUUUACUGGGUGUAAAGGGAGCGCAGGCGGCGUGGCAAGUCAGAUGUGAAAACCCGGGGCCCAACCCCGGGAGUGCAUUUGAAACUGCCAUGCUGGAGUGCCGGAGAGGUAAGCGGAAUUCCUAGUGUAGCGGUGAAAUGCGUAGAUAUUAGGAGGAACACCAGUGGCGGAGGCGGCUUACUGGACGGUAACUGACGCUGAGGCUCGAAAGCGUGGGGAGCAAACAAGAUUAGAUACCCUGGUAGUCCACGCCGUAAAC